Molecule: ribosomal RNA, 497 nt
Filed under: uncultured bacterium
Lineage: Bacteria
Description: partial 16S ribosomal RNA
Rfam family: Bacterial small subunit ribosomal RNA
Source: RNAcentral
GAUGAACGCUGGCGGCGUGCCUAAUACAUGCAAGUCGAGCGAACGGACGAGAAGCUUGCUUCUCUGAUGUUAGCGGCGGACGGGUGAGUAACACGUGGAUAACCUACCUAUAAGACUGGGAUAACUUCGGGAAACCGGAGCUAAUACCGGAUGAUAUUUUGAACCGCAUGGUUCAAAAGUGAAAGACGGUCUUGCUGUCACUUAUAGAUGGAUCCGCGCUGCAUUAGCUAGUUGGUAAGGUAACGGCUUACCAAGGCAACGAUGCAUAGACGACCUGAGAGGGUGAUCGGCCACACUGGAACUGAGACACGGUCCAGACUCCUACGGGAGGCAGCAGUAGGGAAUCUUCCGCAAAGGGCGAAAGCCUGACGGAGCAACGCCGCGUGAGUGAUGAAGGUCUUCGGAUCGUAAAACUCUGUUAUUAGGGAAGAACAUAUGUGUAAGUAACUGUGCACAUCUUGACGGUACCUAAUCAGAAAGCCACGGCUAACUACGUG